ACACAUGCAAGUCGAACGAGAAUCUACUGAAAGAGUUUUCGGACGAUGGAAGUAGAGGAAAGUGGCGGACGGGUGAGUAACGCGUGAGGAACCUGCCUUGAAGAGGGGGACAACAGUUGGAAACGACUGCUAGUACCGCAUGAAGCAUAGGGGUCGCAUGAUUCUUAUGCCAAAGAUUUAUCGCUUCAAGAUGGCCUCGCGUCUGAUUAGCUAGUUGGCGGGGUAACGGCCCACCAAGGCGACGAUCAGUAGCCGGACUGAGAGGUUGAACGGCCACAUUGGGACUGAGAUACGGCCCAGACUCCUACGGGAGGCAGCAGUGGGGAAUAUUGGGCAAUGGGCGCAAGCCUGACCCAGCAACGCCGCGUGAAGGAAGAAGGCUUUCGGGUUGUAAACUUCUUUUAAGAGGGAAGAGCAGAAGACGGUACCUCUAGAAUAAGCCACGGCUAACUACGUGCCAGCAGCCGCGGUAAUACGUAGGUGGCAAGCGUUGUCCGGAUUUACUGGGUGUAAAGGGCGUGCAGCCGGGUCUGCAAGUCAGAUGUGAAAUCCAUGGGCUCAACCCAUGAACUGCAUUUGAAACUGUAGAUCUUGAGUGUCGGAGGGGCAAUCGGAAUUCCUAGUGUAGCGGUGAAAUGCGUAGAUAUUAGGAGGAACACCAGUGGCGAAGGCGGAUUGCUGGACGAUAACUGACGGUGAGGCGCGAAAGUGUGGGGAGCAAACAGGAUUAGAUACCCUGGUAGUCCACACUGUAAACGAUGAAUACUAGGUGUGCGGGGACUGACCCC
This 788-nucleotide ribosomal RNA is filed under the name uncultured bacterium. RNAcentral's name for it is "bacterial SSU rRNA". It matches the Rfam family "Bacterial small subunit ribosomal RNA", at positions 51 to 839 of the family's 1533-position model. The record is from RNAcentral.